Branchiostoma floridae (Florida lancelet) is the source of this 479-nucleotide long non-coding RNA. RefSeq lists it as uncharacterized. The record is from RefSeq and is a predicted model, not a curated record. Lineage: Eukaryota; Metazoa; Chordata; Leptocardii; Amphioxiformes; Branchiostomatidae. The transcript is spliced from 4 exons.
GGGGCAUUCCACUCCAGAAGCGGGUAUCAUAAUUCAUCAGAGAAUAAAUUGUUAUGCUUGAAUCAAGUUUGUUUUGUCAAAUGUACCAUGAGUUGAAGCCUGAACGCAGGGCGUGCAUUAUAGCGAUCGACUUCUUGAAUUCCCCGCUGGUCCCUUACCAACAAUCCCAGAAUUCAAUGCGCAUGGUGUGUUACGGACGGGCUGGAUCGACGAAGCCGCCAAGGACUCUUCCAGUUGAAAAGAUGCACGUGUAUGGCGACAAGCGACUACUUUCAGCUCUCACUACAGUGCUAAUAUCUCUGCAUCCUGAAAAGCUAAGAAAAGAGAAGGACGUGGUCGAGGAAAAGCCCAAGUCAAAAGAAUAUAUUCUUUGCAGAUGACCUAAGGCAGCGGCUGGACUACAGUAAGAGGCAAGGAGACUAUGUGGUCAAAAACAUCUAUGAGAAGAAUCAGGACUACACUUUCAAAAAGAAAGGUGU